UCCGAGUUGACCCCGGCAGUCUCCUAUGAGUCCCCGCCAUCACGCGCUGGCAACAUAGAACGAGGGUUGCGCUCGUUGCGGGACUUAACCCAACAUCUCACGACACGAGCUGACGACAACCAUGCACCACCUGUACAGGACCCUUACGGACCCCCCAUCUCUGGAGGAUUUCCCUGUAUGUCAAGGGCUGGUAAGGUUCUGCGCGUUGCUUCGAAUUGAACCACAUGCUCCACCGCUUGUGCGGGCCCCCGUCAAUUCCUUUGAGUUUCAGCCUUGCGGCCGUACUCCCCAGGCGGGGCACUUAAUGCGUUAGCGCCGGCACCCAGGGGGUCGCUCCCCCAGGCACCUAGUGCCCAUCGUUUACGGCGUGACUAC
This 375-nucleotide unclassified non-coding RNA is filed under the name uncultured bacterium. RNAcentral describes it as "contains 16S-23S intergenic spacer region". The record is from RNAcentral.